AAGUCAAUAAAUGUUUCAUAUUCGAAAUAAAAAUCAACGUAAUUUAUAAUGAAUUUCACAAUUUUUUACGAUUAAUUCAUUAUUUUUCAUUGUUUCUCGUUAUUCUUUUAUUUUAUGCGAUGUAAUUCAUAUUUUUAUUUUGACGAUACAGCAUAAAAUAAAUUAUAAAUUAUGUGGCGUGUACAAAGAAUAGUUAUAUUCCGUACCAAUCAGAAGCGAUACGUAUAACGAAACGUUACGAAAGUAUACAUAUGAGAUAUCACUAUAGUUAGAAAACGAACAUGAACGAAUCACUCAUGAUAAAUCAGAAGAAUCAUUUCAUGCCAAGUCUAUGGAGAGCCACGUGCCAGAUAUUUGAUAAGUGAAAUAAUAAUUCAAAGUGAAAAUUUGAAGAAAAAAAAAUAUAAUUAAAUAAGAUGAUGGAACGAGAGAUGUGGAAUAAAUUAUUUAAAGAAUAUCAAAGGUGGUGAAACACAUUACUGACAUUUCCGACAUGGAUUGUGAGAAUCUGAGAUUCAAUUUUUUGAAGAGGAAGAUGUUCUCUAGCAAGGAAUUUGAACGUAAAGGCUUCAGCUCUGUACAAUCGAAGAGAAAUAUCAAGGCGUGACGCAAGAAUGAGAGCUCCAGAAAAAGUGCGAUAAAUAGAACGACAAAACUCUAAGAGGACUUAAAAGAAGAUCUCACCACUGUUCAGAUGAAGAGACUGGAUCUACUGGGAUCUAUUAACGGACGCGUGUUUAGGUUGUUUCGUAUUCUUAAUAAAUUUUGAGUGAUUUUUCGUUAUAAUUUAUAAAGUAUCAACCAAAAUGUUUCUGUAGUGGAAGUAUGCCUGUGGCCGCGAUUUUAAAGUGAUUGAACUUAUAGAAGGUAAAUCGCAAAUAAUAUUCGAUAGUUUAUCCUCCGCGCGACGCCACGUGAGCUGCCACGUUAUAUUUCUAUUUUUCUCUGUUUCAUUGAAGACAUAGUCCUGCUUUCUUUUAUGUCACUUAAAAAUAGUGGAAAAAAUAUUGUUAUAUAUUCUGGUGACUUUGGUUUAAUUAUUAAAAUUUCUAUGCUAAAAUAAUCGUAUCAAGGGACGCUUGUUGGCCAUAUUGAGUGUUUCGGUGUGUCUCGUUGCGCCAUCAGAUAUUCAUGUACUGUUACUAUUGACUAGCGUUGAGUAUUCGCCAGUACUGAGCAACCGGAGCGUACUCAAGCUUCUAUUACGUGUAUCACCCGGUGUGUUCACCGCUGAUGGGCUGAUGCGCCAAUGCAGCGCGGUGCCGCUGAAUGCCGUAAAUAUGUCUAAGGCGACGAAACACGCUAUUGACACUUCCGAUAUGGACUGUGAUAAUUCGCGAUUUAUUUAUUUGAAAAAGAUCCUCUGGCGAGAAGUACGAAUACGAAGGCUCUGGCUCCGUACAGCCCAAGAGAAAAAUCAAGACGCAAGAAUGGAAAUCCGGGAAAAGCGCAACAGUUAAAACGGCAAAACUCCAGAAGGAAUCAAAGGAAAAUACCACUCUUCAGAUAACUGAAAAAGCAUAUCAAGAAAUCUUCAAUAUCUUUUUUGACUUUGAGAAUAGUAUUCCGAAACGUAUAUUGGAACAAAUAACAUCAAGAGUAGCUAAAUUCCAGAUACUGUUCUGACAGAGUCUAAUUUAUAGUAAUAAUUUAGAAAGUCAAAUAAAGACGUUAUACUAAAGAACAUAAUUUCAGCAACAAACGUUGGAAAGCGCUGUCCAAUCCCAAAAAAUCAUGCAACCGGUUAAACUAAACAUGAUUACGUGUAGCAUGCGGGUAUGCAAUCGCGGCCCUUACAAAUAUGAAACGGGACCCUCCGAAUUCCAUAACGAUAGUGACGCAGGAAUCGCAAACAACUCCGAUAAAACGAAGGAAGUUGUACUAGAGAUCGUCUCGCCUAUAGCAGACAAAUUAAAAGUCAAACAUGUAAAAAGAAUAAGCAGGAGCGGAAUUUCCUCAUGGAAACAGCCGGUCAAGACUUUAUGACUCCUUGAGAAUCAAAAACAGAGAGAAACAGUUUCGUUGUCGAUGUCUCAGCGAGGAAAAGUCCAUGGGUAAUAAUCUAUGACGUCCCUAGAACUGACAGUAAUGAGGAGGUAAAAAAAGAACUUAUAGGUAAAAAAAGAACUUAUAGAACUCUUAUAGAACAGAAUCUAGAAAUAAACAUCAAAGACAAGUUCUGCUAACAGGUAAUAUUAGUAUUCAAAAUUGAUGAAGGAAAAAAGCCCGAGAGAUUCUCAUCAAAAAGGAGAGGAUUUAUAUUGGUUGAAGUUGUUGCAGAAUAUAGGACUAUCUAGUAACGACAUGAUGUUACAAAUGUCAUAACUGCGGACAUACAAAGUAUUAGCGAAAUAAUAACGAGAUCUGCAGUCAUUGUGUAGAGAAAGAUCACGCCUUUAAAAACUUUAACCUUAAUAAAAACAAAAAUCCGCUUUGUUAUAACUGUAAGAGAGGCAAAAAGCCGUUAUCACAUACCGUGACGGACAAGAUCUGCCCCGGACGGACAAGAUCUGCUUUGAAUCACAUACUACUAUGAAUAGACUAUAGCCAGUAAGAACUAUAAAAACGGAUAUGAAUUAUAUUUGGCUCAGCUUAACAUGCGCAAUGCAUCACCCUUGAAAUUAUGCCGAGGAGUGUAUUAACAUUUUGCUUAUGCAGAAGCUGUAUGACUCGAAAAUGAAAUUCAUCACAUUCGAGCGGUGUGUGUUCGUUAUUUCCAGAGUUAAACCUGGCACCGCAGUCAUGGCCAAAAUAGGGGUAUGAAACUCGAUGAUUACGAUUUCCAAGUUGACUUAUUUAUGACGACCACAUGUAUGUGUGGAAAUGGGCCUUCAGCUGGUUGUAUAUAACAAGUAUUUAUUUUCAAUAUUCCGAUAGCGUAGAACCAUAUAUUCGGAAAAUAGAACAAAUCACGUUCACUCUUUUUGGAGAGAAACUAAUAAUAUCGGCUGAUGUGAAAGCAAGAUCAUCUCUCUGGUACUACCAUCAUAUGGAUGCCUGUGGCGAAGAGAUCGAGUUUGCCUUGGCAAGUCUCGAUCUCACGGUACUGAACAAGCCGGGACGCAAACUCUGCAGCAGGAAGAUCGCGCCAAAGUCGUAGUUACAACGCCGAAGAACUGGCAGGACAAUGAGAGAGAACGAUCAAAAAGAAAAAGAUCAAAGAUCAAAAAGAAGUGCGCUCGCGUAUUAUUAGAUUCACUUACCAGAUUCAUACUAGAUGUUAUCUCUCCGCAAAUAGUAACACAUCGAGUAGCGGGUAAACUUCUAAUAAGCCGGACAAUACGCCGUCUAUCGAUAAGAAAAAAAUCCGUGUAAUUAAUAGUAUGAAGAAUGGGAAAGCGCAGGAUCAAGGUUAAAGUUCUUAAGGCUUCCCAUGCCGUUAUUCAUAAAGAGUUGAGGGAUCUCUUUAACGCGUGUCUACGUUAUGCUUUCUUCACCGGGAUCUGGAAAGAAGGCUCAAUUCGUGUUCUACUAUAGGAUGCCGACACGUUUCAAAUCCGGCUUCUUACUAUCCGAUCUGCCUCCUUUUAGUGAUUGGGAAUUAUUUAGAGAAAUUGUUGAAAGAUUUCCGAUGUUUUCGGACUCCCGUUAUGCAGCCGCGAUGUUCGGAUUCCCAAGAAAAGAGUUGACGACAGAUGCGAUCCUGAUUAUGAGGGAAUGGUGACAAAUCAAUGAACAAGUAUGUCCUCGCCAUUCUAUUUAAUCAAGGGAGUUUUCGACUGUGUAUGGUAGCCGAGCAUAUUACAUCGACAUACUGCUAGAGGAGACUGUCCUUCUAAUUGUAGAUUACCUAUGAGGAUGAAUGAUGAGCCUUGUCGGUAAGCACGGAAUUGUUUCGAAAUACGCCACGAGAGCUGCCUAGAGGGAUUCAUACUUGGUCUAAGUUUUUGGAAUCUGGUAUUCGACAAUCUACUUCUCACUCUUGAUCGGAAAGGCAUGCACACAGUCGCAUACGAUCGCAGUCGUAGACGAUCUCCUGAUAAUAGUCUUCGGAGAUAGUUGCAUCUGAAUAAAAAGAAUUGGACAGUCCGUCAUACUUCGUCAAUAAUCAAAGAGUAUGCACAGGAAAAGCUCAUCCUCUCGAUGCAGAAGACCGAGAUGAUUUUACUAAAGGACGCAUUGGAAAAGACUUCCAAUUAUAAGGUUAAGAUGCCAGGUACGAAUGAAAACAAGCGUCAGAUACUGGGCGUAUUUGUAUACAGAUUUGUGAGAGAUGAUGCAUAGGAAGAAUCAAAGCACCGAAAAAUUCAACGCGAUAACGAAAGCGAUAGCGAAAAGGGACUACGGUCUAGUACGUAUGUCUGUCAAUAUUGUACAUAUGGAAUAUUUAUACCGAUAGCAAUAUAUGCAGCGGUAGCAUAAUGUGACAGAUUUAACAAAUCAGAUUUGCGAAUUUUAGAUCAAGCACAACGUUUAGUUCUUACCAAAAUCAUGAAAGUAUAUCGCACAACAUCGAUGAAUGUUUUGUCGUUAAUGGCGGAUGUCUCUCCCCCUCCCCCAAUAGAUCUGAAAAUCAGAAAAAUAGAAAUUAGGUAUUGGAUAAAAGGCAGCAAUGGAACUAAGAAAGACUUUUUUCAUAGCGUGUAAUAAAUAUAUUCAAUGAUAUACAAGAGCGGUUCUCCUCGUGAGGUGGGAUCAAAUCAACCAAAGAAGAUGGAAUAAAUCAAGAGGGUGGCUGACGUACGGCAUUUUCUCGCUGGACAGCGAUUGAUGUAGUAUGAUCGUGUCCAUCCGCUAACUAAACGAAUCGUCUCCUCAAAGGAGUAGAUUCAACUUGUUCCAUACCGCAUAAUAGCCUAUAGUUUUUCCAAGCCCAAAGGUGACAUAACACCUACGCCCGCCUCCCUUCGUAGAGCGAUGUUAAAAAUAUAACGCCAUUAAACAUCUAGCGAGUCAAGUCAUUUAGAAGUAUCACUCUCAGGAGCGGCGCCAUCAUCUUGACAAUGCAUGGUCAAUAUCAAUUAUUCCUAUCUACUUUCGAGCGAAACUACUGCCAAGGGAACGGGCUUGAAAAAAUUAAUUCGGAAAGAAGACCCUGUUGAACUUGACUCUAAUCUGGCAUUGUAAGGAGACAUAAAAAGUGUAGUAUAAGUAGAGAUGGUAACAUCGUCGAAAUAUCACUAUUUUCAUCAUUUCUUUACUUAUUCGGAGCGCGUGCACUGGUAUUUCGACUCGGUUGUCACAGUGUUUUAGAGCCAAGUGUGUAAGAGUGGUAUGGAGGUCUUUGCAGCCGAUCGCCAAAAAUACUCCCGCGUAAUCCGAUUCAAGGACACUGCUAGCUGAGGAGUUUGACUGGGACAAUACAUUUGUCAAAAAAUAACGCAGGUGUUCUAAGACCAGCUCAGUGAGGACAGAAACCUCGUAGAGCAAAAAGAUAAAAGCUGGCUUGAUCUCGAUGUUUAGUAUGCAUAAAAACUGCGAAAGCCUAUCGAUUUUUUUAACUUGAAGAGUUUUCAGCAAGAGGUGUUAGAAAAGUUACCACAGGAAUAACUGGUUUGUGGCGGCCAAGCGUUCAUAGCAAUGUCACUUUUUGAUCCUUUGAUGUCGGCUCUUUCUAUCAUUGCGAAAUAGAAUUCGCCAAGCGUCGGAUUGUUCACUCGCCAACAGGAAACAUGAGCUGGGUUUAGAUCGUCAUGAGACAGAAAGCAAUACGCCGCUGGGAUAUUAAAAGACGGUAUCCGAUACAAAGCAAUACGCCGCUACUAGGGAUUGAAUUUACUAAAUACAAAACCGACAUGACCGGGAACUUUAAUCCAAACGUCAAGAUGGCGCCGAAGCGAUGUAACUAGAGAUAUUAAAACGAAAAAUUGAUGUUAUUAGAAAAUUGAAAAAGUACAAAACAUAUCGUUGAGUCGUAAUGUAUAGUAUAGAAUUAUUGGACAAAAACGAAAGAAAUGUAAUUAUAAUAAUGUAAUGUAAUUAAUAAAAAUAAUGAAUAUUUAUAAUGAUAGAAAAUAUCGAAGGAAAAUAGAGUUGGGAAGGAGAAAAAAGGAAAAAAAACGAAAGAAAUAUAAAUAUUUAUGGAUAUUCAUAAUAGAUAUAAAAUAUAAAAUAAAUUAAUAUAAAAAAAUAAAAUAAUUGUAUUCAUAAAAAUAUUAUAUGCGAGUAUAGUUUCUAUUAAAAAAAAAAGAAAAAAAGAGUAAGAAAGAAAGAAAGAAAGAAGAAGAAAAAAGUAAUGACGACAACGACGACGAUGAUAAUUAUAACAACAACAACAAUAACAAUAAUAAUAAAAUAUUUUUCAGGACCAAAACAUGGAAUGGAACAUAUCUAAUCGGGGAAAUUGAAGAGAUACGAGUUAAAUAGGCGAACGGAUCGGGCAAGUUUGAAAGAUACGAGUUUAACGAACAACCGACUGAUCGGGAAAGUCAGAACGAUACGACUUGAACGAGCGAACCAACAUUAUCGGAGAAUUUUAAACGAUACAAAUAGAAUGAGUGGAUCGACCUGACCGGGAAAAUCAGAGCGAUACGUGUAGAAUGUGCAAACCGACUUGACUGGAACUGGACUGCGCAUACAGCUGGACUAUCUAAUCGACAUGACUCGCAGUUUGUAUAAUGAUAAUGACCGUCGAUCGAAAUCUAAGUUCCAGCAUACCUUCCGCUUUUGGAACGAAAAAUUGAUAUCGAUAAAUUAUGUAGUUUUUCGGCAUGAAAAUUAUUGUAAAUUCGGCGAAUUCUGCUUUGAUAUCGUUGAGAGUGACGUUUUUUAGAUGAUACUCCAGUUACGUUGAAUCCUGCUACGAAAAUUCGAUUUUGAUCAAAAUUAUAGCUUUUCAACGCUAAAAAUGCUGCUAUCGCGAAUUCGAUUUUGAAAACAAACAGAAAUACGAUAUCUAACAAAAACUCGCCAAAUUAUGUUAAAUUCUGCUAUGAAAAAUUGAUUUUGAUUAAAAUUGUAGUUUUCCGACGCUUAAAACACUGUUACUGCAAAUUUUACAUUGAAAAUCAUUGGAGUGAUUAUUUAACAGCGAUUUUCCUGAAUAUUUUUACAAUAUUGAUAAUAAUUUAUUUUAGUUUAUUUGCAGCAGAAUUUGAUACGACACGACGCUUUUAUGCUAAAUCACAUUUCUCUGAUCAUUUUUGAAGAUUUCACUUAAGAGCGACUUUCGUGAGUAUUUUCACAAAAUUUUAUAUAAUCGAUUAUUCAUAGCUAAAUUUACCAUAACGUACUAUCAAGUUUGUUCUAAAUAACAUCGUAGCAGUGAUUUUUAUGUCGAAAUGUUUCAAUUAUAAAAAUUAAAUUUAUUUACAGCAGAAUAAGACAUAAAUCGACGCGUUUGUGAUAGAUCACAUCUUUCGGAUUAUUUACGAAAGAAAUUUCAUUGUAGCAACGUUUCAAAUGUCAAAAAGCUAUAAGUUUUAUCAAAAUCGAAUUUUCGUGGCAGAAUUUAACGUAACUCAAGUCAUGUUUGAAAACAUUACUCUCAACGAUUAUAAAACAAAAUUCGCCGAAAAUGCGAUUUCGUAUCGAAAAAUCUUUAAUAAAUCUUUAAUAAAAUCGAUUUUUCAUGGCAGAACUUAACAUAGCUCGGCAAGUUUGUGUGAGAUAAUGUGUUUCUGAUUGUUUUCAUAACCGAAUUCGCCUUAAUAGCGUUUCUGAGAAAUUACUUUUGAUGAUAAUCGAAUGUUUAUGGCGGAAUUCAACUUGACUUGAGUUCAGAUAGAAAACCUUUAUUUUCCAUGAAUAUAAUUUCAAAGCAGAAUAUGUCCGUAACAGGAAUUUUUUUGUUCAAAUUUUAAAAUUAUCAAAUUCAUUUUUUUAUUGCAUAAUUUCAGUGGAUAGUUUAAAGUGAUGCAUUAAAAUAUCACUCUGAACGAUUUCCAAUUACUGUUAUGGCCUUAAUAGUAAUUUUUUUCUCUAAAGACUAACCAUUUUGAUAAUAAUUGUUUUUUUAGAAUUGGAUUUAACAUGAAUUUGUUCUAGGAAUCGUCUUUCUGAUCGAAUUCUAAGCAGCGUAGCAAUGAUUUUCCUCAGAAAUGCUAUAAUUUUUAUCAAAAUCAAUUUUUCAGGUUUAAAUUCGUUGUAACUCGACGAGUUUGAGCUUGGAAUAUCAUGUUAAUUAUUUUUAUUUUUUAUUCUUAAAAAUAAUAGGAAUCUUGAAAUGUUAAUAUUUGCUUAAAAAAGAUAUGCGCUUUAGUACAAGUAAUUUGUAAAGUAAUUUAAUAGUUCAGAAAAAAAAAUAGAUUAACAGGCUUAAAGGAUUAAAAUUUAUAUAUAACAAUGGGUAAUAUAGUAUUUAUAUAUACUAUGUUAUUUCGCAACAAUAUUUCGCAUGAAAUAUAAUAAUAUAAAUUUUUUUUAUUUGUAUUUGUAAUAUCUCUAUUACAAUUUUUCGUCGAAAAUUUUAAUAUAGAAUGUGAUCUUUCUUUAUUAGAAGAUAAUAUAUCAUAUAGAAGAUAGUAUAUACAUAAUAUCCAUCUAAUAUAUUCUAAUAUAUUGUAUUUAUAUCAAAGUCUAUAAAGACUGUAAGUUUAUAAAGAUGAUAUUAGAUAGAAAUUUGAAAAUGAUAUGAUAAACAAUAUGUAAUUGUAAAAAUAUAUUACAGAAAAAAUUGAAGCUAAAUCUAUGAGCACAAUAAAAAUAAAUCAGAUGAUGUUUUGACAAUAGUAGACCUUUAGAAGCAUUUAAAAAAAAAAAAAAAGAAGAAAAUAUAAUACUAGCAAUUUGAAGAAUAAUUUGAUAGUUCAGAAUAAAAGAAAUCAAAAAAUUGAAAAAAAUUGAUUGAAACAAAUAUAUAAUAGGUAUAGUAAAACUGUCAUAUUUCACAUGAAACGCAAUAAUAUAAAUUAUUGGAUUAUUUAAAAUUAUAUUACACAUUAAGACUACUGAUAUUAGUUUACUAUUAUAUUAUUAGUUUGAUUAAUCGACCUUUUACUAAUUUAAUAUAUAAUCAUAAGAAUUUUUUUAUACUAUUUUGUAAAAAAAUUGAAUUGUUAUGAAAGAUUUGAUUUCAAUGAAAAUUUAUAAAGAACAAUAUAUUAAAAUAUUAUACAUAGAAUAAUUUAUUUUUGAACAAAAAAUUUCUGAUUUUGUCCAAAAAUUGAGUAUGUAAAAUCAGUUCUCAUUUUUUCGUGUUUCGUAUAUAAUUUCUGGAAA
Apis cerana (Asiatic honeybee) is the source of this 9099-nucleotide long non-coding RNA. RefSeq lists it as uncharacterized. The record is from RefSeq and is a predicted model, not a curated record. Lineage: Eukaryota; Metazoa; Arthropoda; Insecta; Hymenoptera; Apidae.